AUUGAACGCUGGCGGCAUGCCUAACACAUGCAAGUCGAACGGCAGCACGGCAGUAGCAAUACUGUGGGUGGCGAGUGGCGGACGGGUGAGGAAUACGUCGGAAUCUGCCCAGUCGUGGGGGAUAACUAGCCGAAAGGUUAGCUAAUACCGCAUACGACCGAGAGGUGAAAGCGGGGGACCGCAAGGCCUCGCGCGAUUGGAUGAGCCGACGUCGGAUUAGCUAGUUGGUGGGGUAAAGGCCCACCAAGGCGACGAUCCGUAGCUGGUCCGAGAGAAUGAUCAGCCACACUGGAACUGAGACACGGUCCAGACUCCUACGGGAGGCAGCAGUGGGGAAUAUUGGACAAUGGGCGCAAGCCUGAUCCAGCAAUGCCGCGUGUGUGAAGAAGGCCUUCGGGUUGUAAAGCACUUUUAUCAGGAACGAAAAGCGUUGGAUUAAUACUCUGACGUGCUGACGGUACCUGAGGAAUAAGCACCGGCUAACUUCGUG
This 490-nucleotide ribosomal RNA is filed under the name uncultured bacterium. RNAcentral describes it as "bacterial SSU rRNA". It matches the Rfam family "Bacterial small subunit ribosomal RNA", at positions 29 to 507 of the family's 1533-position model. The record is from RNAcentral.